CUUAUCAAGAGUGGCGGAGGGAACGGCCCAAUGAAGCCCGGCAACCUGUGGGAGACCACAAGGUGCUAAAUCCGGCGGCAGUGGAUCGAAAGAUGAGG
RNAcentral lists this non-coding RNA (98 nucleotides) under uncultured Lawsonibacter sp. RNAcentral's name for it is "SAM riboswitch (S box leader)". It matches the Rfam family "SAM riboswitch aptamer (S box leader)". Rfam says of the family: The SAM riboswitch is found upstream of a number of genes which code for proteins involved in methionine or cysteine biosynthesis in Gram-positive bacteria. The SAM riboswitch acts at the level of transcription termination control. The record is from RNAcentral. Lineage: Bacteria; Bacillati; Bacillota; Clostridia; Eubacteriales; Oscillospiraceae.